GUUCGCAGAUGUGCAAUAAGGUUUAGGAUUUUUUAUUUUGGUCCAGGGGCCAAAACAAGAGGCCCAAAUGUGUCUAAGUCAUAUUUCAGGCAUGCCUCAUGUCCCUGGAACUACUUCUUCAUUGUUGCAUAUGAGUGUCCAUCAUCUGUAGAUGUGCAAUAAGUAAUUAAAAAUAGUAAUAUUUCAAAACAAUGUGGGGUGCGGGUAUUGAUGUCGUUCCGACAGCCCUACUUCUAGUUGCAAUUAGUUUUAGCACCGUUGGGGCUUUGAUUAUAAUUGCAUAUUCCUGUUAGUUGCAGUUUUAGCUCACCUGGCCAAAGGCCAUGUGAGCUUUUGUCAUCACUUGGCGUCCGUCGUCCGUCCGUCCGUAAACUUUUACAUUCUGAUCUUCUCCUCUGAAACCCCUGGGUCAAUUGAACUGAAACUUGGUAUGAAGCAUCCAUGGGAGGUCCUUUACAAAAUUUGCAUAAAUCAUCCAGGUCCGUUAAAAAUAAAAUGGCUGCCAUGAGGAUUUACAUGUUUUGAUUGGUUGAAAUUUAAAACUUCUUCUCCUCUGUAGCAGUAGAGCCAAAUGAACUGAAACUUGGUAUGAACCAUCCAUGGGAGGUCCUAUACCAAGCAUACCAGGUGAGGUUACAGGCUCACCACUUGAGCCUCUUGUUCUAUAACAAAUUGGUUAUGUGAUUAAAAGGAAUCCACUGUAUACUACUUGACUUUGACCUCAUAAAACAUUGCAAGUGCCAAAUAUGUCUUAUUUCCAUAUUUAUUAAGUUCACAGAAGACUUAACCCGUA
Molecule: long non-coding RNA, 793 nt
Filed under: Mytilus galloprovincialis (Mediterranean mussel)
Lineage: Eukaryota; Metazoa; Mollusca; Bivalvia; Mytilida; Mytilidae
Source: RNAcentral